This 435-nucleotide ribosomal RNA is filed under the name uncultured organism. RNAcentral describes it as "eukaryotic LSU rRNA". The stretch from base 60 to 213 matches the Rfam family "5.8S ribosomal RNA". The record is from RNAcentral.
UAGGACAAACAUAAACCUUUUGUAAUUGCAAUCAGCGUCAGUAACAAAUUAAUAACCCCCACUUUCAACAACGGAUCUCUUGGUUCUGGCAUCGAUGAAGAACGCAGCGAAAUGCGAUAAGUAGUGUGAAUUGCAGAAUUCAGUGAAUCAUCGAAUCUUUGAACGCACAUUGCGCCCUUUGGUAUUCCAAAGGGCAUGCCUGUUCGAGCGUCAUUUGUACCCUCAAGCUUUGCUUGGUGUUGGGCGUCUUGUCUCUAGCUUUGCUGGAGACUCGCCUUAAAGUAAUUGGCAGCCGGCCUACUGGUUUCGGAGCGCAGCACAAGUCGCACUCUCUAUCAGCAAAGGUCUAGCAUCCAUUAAGCCUUUUUUUCAACUUUUGACCUCGGAUCAGGUAGGGAUACCCGCUGAACUUAAGCAUAUCAAUAAGCGGAGGAA